UUGUUUAUAAGUGCUUUAUACAUGCAAAAUAUACGAAAACAAUGUCCGUACAUAUAAAUUUCGCCCCGUAAUAUAGCAAAGAUUACGAAAAGGCCCAAAAAAGUACAUUACGGUCAAAAUUUGGAGUAGAAAAAAAAACUAUAGAAGAAUUCCAUUUUCCUUCCUAAUUCAUCGGAGAGCUCUCUUUGGGCUUUCCGAAAAGGUAUCACAUGCCAAGUUUGGCCUCACGGUAUAAAAGUUCUAGAGUCAUACAUUUUUGACCAAAAAAAAGAGGGAUGCAACACGAGGACUUUCCAGGAGGUCACCCAUCCUAGUACUACUCUCGCCCAAGCACGCUUAACUACGGAGUUCUGAUGGGAUCUAGUGCAUUAGUCCUGGUAUGAUCGCAUCCGUUACUACAUGCAGUGCAAUUGUAUCUAUUUUUUUUUAAGACUUUAUGAUCCAUUUGCCGUGGGUCCCACCAGCUGUGUAGGAAUACCCUAUCUUGUUUAUAAGAGCUUUGAUAAAUGCAAAAUAUUCGAAAAUAAUGUCCGAACAUAUAAUUUUGGCCCCGUAAUAUAGAAAAGAUAACGAAAAGGCUCGAAAAAGUACAUUACAAUCAAAAUUUGGAGAAGGAAAAAAACAAAUAGAAGAAUUCCAUUUUCCUUCCUCAUUCAUCGGAGAGCUCUCUUUGGGCUUUCCGAAAAGGUAUCACAUGUCAAGUUUAGCCUCACGGUCUUAAAGUUAUAGAGUCAUACAUUUUUAACAAAACAAAAAGAGGGAUGACACACGAGGACUUUCCUGGAGGUCACCCAUCCUAGUACUACUCUCGCCCAAGUACGCUUAACUGCAGAGUUCUGAUGGGAUCUGGUGCAUUAGUGUUGGUAUGAUCGCAUCCGUAACUACAUGCAAUGCAAUCGUAUCUAUUCUUUUUUGAAGACUUUAUGAUCGAUUUGCCGUGGGUCCCACCAGCUAUGUAGGAAUACCCUAUCUUGUUUGUAAGAGCUUUGAUACAUGCAAAAUAUACGAAAACAAUGUCCGUACAUAUAAUUUUUGCCCCGUAAUAUAGCAAAGAUUACGAAAAGGCCCGAAAAAGUACAUAAAGGUCAAAAUUUGGAGUAGAAAAAAAAACUAUAGAAGAAUUCCAUUGUCCUUCCUAAUUCAUCGGAGAGAUCUCUUUGGGUUUUCCGAAAAGGUAUUCACAUGCCAAGUUUGGCCUCACCGUCUAAAAGUUCUAGAGUCCAUACAAUUUUGACAAAAAAAAAGAGAAAA
Molecule: small RNA, 1251 nt
Filed under: Arabidopsis thaliana (thale cress)
Lineage: Eukaryota; Viridiplantae; Streptophyta; Magnoliopsida; Brassicales; Brassicaceae
Description: ATSL166390
Source: RNAcentral